Molecule: ribosomal RNA, 301 nt
Filed under: uncultured bacterium
Lineage: Bacteria
Description: partial 16S ribosomal RNA
Rfam family: Bacterial small subunit ribosomal RNA
Source: RNAcentral
CAGCAGCCGCGGUAAUACGUAGGUGGCAAGCGUUGUCCGGAAUUAUUGGGCGUAAAGGGCUCGCAGGCGGCUUCUUAAGUCUGAUGUGAAAGCCCCCGGCUCAACCGGGGAGGGUCAUUGGAAACUGGGAAACUUGAGUGCAGAAGAGGAGAGUGGAAUUCCACGUGUAGCGGUGAAAUGCGUAGAGAUGUGGAGGAACACCAGUGGCGAAGGCGACUCUCUGGUCUGUAACUGACGCUGAGGAGCGAAAGCGUGGGGAGCGAACAGGAUUAGAUACCCCAGUAGUCCCUGUCUCUUAUAC